RNAcentral lists this ribosomal RNA (477 nucleotides) under uncultured bacterium. Its description in RNAcentral is "partial 16S ribosomal RNA". It matches the Rfam family "Bacterial small subunit ribosomal RNA", at positions 28 to 507 of the family's 1533-position model. The record is from RNAcentral.
GGUGAACGCUAGCGGCAGGCCUAACACAUGCAAGUCGAGGGAGAAGCCCUUUCGAGGGCAGAAACCGGCGCACGGGUGCGUAACGCGGAUGCAACCUACCUUUCACAGGGUGAUAGCCCGAAGAAAUUGGAGUAAUACCCCAUAAUAUUAUUGGAUUGCAUCAUUUGAUAAUUAAAACGUCGGUGGGGAAAUAUGGGCAUGCGUGCGAUUAGCUAGUUGGAGUUGUUAGGGGACCCCAAGGCUACGAUAGGUAGGGGUCCUGAGGGGGAGAUCCACCACAAUGGUACUGCGACCGGGACCCGAAUGCUACGGGAGGCAGCAGUGAGGAAUAUUAGUCAAUGGUCGGAAGACUGACCAAGCCAUGCCGCGUGAAGGAAGAAUGGCUUAUGGGUUGUAAACUGCUUUUAUAUGGGAAGAAUAAGGCGUACGUGUACGUUGAUGACGGUACCAAAUGAAUAAGCAUCGGCUAACUCCGUG